GAUGAACGCUGGCGGCGCGCCUAACACAUGCAAGUCAAACGAUUAAAGCACCUUCGGGUGUGUAUAAAGUGGCGAACGGCUGAGUAACACGUGGGCAACCUGCCCCCUUCAUUGGGAUAGCCACGGGAAACCGUGGAUAAUACCGAAUACUUCGAGACUUCCGCAUGGAAGACUCGAGAAAGCUCCGGCGGAGAGGGAUGGGCCCGCGGCCUGUUAGCUUGUUGGUGGGGUAACGGCCUACCAAGGCAAUGAUGGGUAGCUGGGUUGAGAGACCGACCAGCCAGAUUGGGACUGAGACACGGCCCAGACUCCUACGGGAGGCAGCAGUGGGGAAUCUUGCACAAUGGGCGAAAGCCUGAUGCAGCGACGCCGCGUGCGGGAUGAAGGCCUUCGGGUUGUAAACCGCUUUCAGCAGGGACGAGGCGAAAGUGACGGUACCUGCAGAAGAAGCCCCGGCUAACUACGUG
This 467-nucleotide ribosomal RNA is filed under the name uncultured bacterium. RNAcentral describes it as "partial 16S ribosomal RNA". It matches the Rfam family "Bacterial small subunit ribosomal RNA", at positions 28 to 507 of the family's 1533-position model. The record is from RNAcentral.